Molecule: ribosomal RNA, 254 nt
Filed under: uncultured bacterium
Lineage: Bacteria
Description: partial 16S ribosomal RNA
Rfam family: Bacterial small subunit ribosomal RNA
Source: RNAcentral
UACGGGGGGAGCAAGCGUUGUUCGGAUUUACUGGGCGUAAAGGGCGCGUAGGCGGCCACCGCAAGUCGACUGUGAAAUCUCCGGGCUUAACCCGGAACGGUCAGCCGAUACUGCAGGGCUAGAGUGCAGAAGGGGCAACUGGAAUUCUCGGUGUAGCGGUGAAAUGCGUAGAUAUCGAGAGGAACACCUGCGGCGAAGGCGGGUUGCUGGGCUGACACUGACGCUGAAGUGCGAAAGCUAGGGGAGCGAACGGG